RNAcentral lists this ribosomal RNA (497 nucleotides) under uncultured bacterium. Its description in RNAcentral is "partial 16S ribosomal RNA". It matches the Rfam family "Bacterial small subunit ribosomal RNA", at positions 28 to 507 of the family's 1533-position model. The record is from RNAcentral.
GAUGAACGCUGGCGGCGUGCCUAAUACAUGCAAGUCGAGCGAACGGACGAGAAGCUUGCUUUUCUGAUGUUAGCGGCGGACGGGUGAGUAACACGUGGAUAACCUACCUAUAAGACUGGGAUAACUUCGGGAAACCGGAGCUAAUACCGGAUAAUAUUUUGAACCGCAUGGUUCAUAAGUGAAAGACGGUCUUGCUGUCACUUAUAGAUGGAUCCGCGCUGCAUUAGCUAGUUGGUAAGGUAACGGCUUACCAAGGCAACGAUGCAUAGCCGACCUGAGAGGGUGAUCGGCCACACUGGAACUGAGCCACGGUCCAGACUCCUACGGGAGGCAGCAGUAGGGAAUCUUCCGCAAUGGGCGAAAGCCUGACGGAGCAACGCCGCGUGAGUGAUGAAGGUCUUCGGAUCGUAAAACUCUGUUAUUAGGGAAGAACAUAUGUGUAAGUAACUGUGCACAUCUUGACGGUACCUAAUCAGAAAGCCACGGCUAACUACGUG